Molecule: ribosomal RNA, 859 nt
Filed under: Chryseobacterium sp. DP_00041
Lineage: Bacteria; Pseudomonadati; Bacteroidota; Flavobacteriia; Flavobacteriales; Weeksellaceae
Also listed under: 1 other name
Description: bacterial SSU rRNA
Rfam family: Bacterial small subunit ribosomal RNA
Source: RNAcentral
UUUGAUUCAUGGCUCAGGAUGAACGCUAGCGGGAGGCCUAACACAUGCAAGCCGAGCGGUAGAGAUCUUUCGGGAUCUUGAGAGCGGCGUACGGGUGCGGAACACGUGUGCAACCUGCCUUUAUCUGGGGGAUAGCCUUUCGAAAGGAAGAUUAAUACCCCAUAAUAUAUUGAUUGGCAUCAAUUAAUAUUGAAAACUCCGGUGGAUAGAGAUGGGCACGCGCAAGAUUAGAUAGUUGGUGAGGUAACGGCUCACCAAGUCAAUGAUCUUUAGGGGGCCUGAGAGGGUGAUCCCCCACACUGGUACUGAGACACGGACCAGACUCCUACGGGAGGCAGCAGUGAGGAAUAUUGGACAAUGGGUGAGAGCCUGAUCCAGCCAUCCCGCGUGAAGGACGACGGCCCUAUGGGUUGUAAACUUCUUUUGUAUAGGGAUAAACCUUUCCACGUGUGGAAAGCUGAAGGUACUAUACGAAUAAGCACCGGCUAACUCCGUGCCAGCAGCCGCGGUAAUACGGAGGGUGCAAGCGUUAUCCGGAUUUAUUGGGUUUAAAGGGUCCGUAGGCGGGCUCGUAAGUCAGUGGUGAAAUCUCAUAGCUUAACUAUGAAACUGCCAUUGAUACUGCGAGCCUUGAGUAAGGUAGAGGUAGCUGGAAUAAGUAGUGUAGCGGUGAAAUGCAUAGAUAUUACUUAGAACACCAAUUGCGAAGGCAGGUUACCAUGUCUUAACUGACGCUGAUGGACGAAAGCGUGGGGAGCGAACAGGAUUAGAUACCCUGGUAGUCCACGCCGUAAACGAUGCUAACUCGUUUUUGGGUCUUCGGAUUCAGAGACUAAGCGAAAGUGAUAAGUUAGCCACC